This 253-nucleotide ribosomal RNA is filed under the name uncultured bacterium. RNAcentral describes it as "partial 16S ribosomal RNA". It matches the Rfam family "Bacterial small subunit ribosomal RNA", at positions 524 to 776 of the family's 1533-position model. The record is from RNAcentral.
GACGGAGGGUGCGAGCGUUAUUCGGAAUCAUUGGGCGUAAAGAGCGUGUAGGCGGCCGGUUAAGUCAGGUGUGAAAGCCCGGGGCUCAACCCCGGAAGGGCACUUGAUACUGGUCGGCUUGAGUUCGGGAGAGGGAAGCGGAAUUCCUGGUGUAGAGGUGAAAUUCGUAGAUAUCAGGAGGAACACCGGUGGCGAAGGCGGCUUCCUGGACCGAAACUGACGAUGAGACGCGAAAGAGUGGGGAGCAAACAGG